This 345-nucleotide unclassified non-coding RNA is filed under the name soil metagenome. RNAcentral's name for it is "partial contains 5.8S ribosomal RNA, internal transcribed spacer 2, and large subunit ribosomal RNA". The stretch from base 1 to 120 matches the Rfam family "5.8S ribosomal RNA", at positions 35 to 154 of the family's 154-position model. The record is from RNAcentral.
GAUGAAGAACGCAGCGAAAUGCGAUACGUAAUGUGAAUUGCAGAAUUCAGUGAUUCAUCGAGUCUUUGAACGCACAUUGCGCCCCCUGGUAUUCCGGGGGGCAUGCCUGUCCGAGCGUCAUUGCUGCCCUCAAGCACGGCUUGUGUGUUGGGCCUCCGUCCUCCUCCCGGGGGACGGGCCCGAAAGGCAGCGGCGGCACCGCGUCCGGUCCUCGAGCGUAUGGGGCUUCGUCACCCGCUCUUGUAGGCCCGGCCGGCGCUUGCCGACACAUCAAUCUUUUUUCCAGGUUGACCUCGGAUCAGGUAGGGAUACCCGCUGAACUUAAGCAUAUCAAUAAGCGGAGGA